Non-coding RNA from Caenorhabditis elegans, 21 nucleotides. Lineage: Eukaryota; Metazoa; Nematoda; Chromadorea; Rhabditida; Rhabditidae. The record is from Ensembl.
UUCCGAUUCCGACUAGAAGGC